UAAACUAGGAUUAGAUACCCUAUUAUUUUAGAAUGUUAAUUUUUGUGCUUGAGUAGUAUUAGUUAUGUUCUUGAAACUUAAAGAAUUUGGCGGUAUCUCAUUCCGUUCAGAGGAAUCUGUCUCGUUAUCGAUAGUCCGCGUUGGACCUUACUUAGUUGCUUUGGUUUGUAUACCGCCGUUUAUUGAUUAUCUUUUUAGAGGUUUUAAUUUUCUUUAUUUUUUAUUUUGAUUUAUUUCAGGUCAAGGUGCAGCUUGUUUCUAAGUGAAUGAUGGAUUACAUUAUUAUUUGUUUUUGGAUUGUUUUAUUUGAAUUUGGGCAUGAAAUUGGAUUUGGUUGUAAUAAUUUGUAGAUUGUUAUUAUGAUAAUUGGUUCUGAGAUAUGCACACAUCGCCCGUCGCUCUCGUUUAUUAAUGAGAUAAGUCGUAACAUAGUA
Molecule: ribosomal RNA, 434 nt
Filed under: Prohamitermes mirabilis
Lineage: Eukaryota; Metazoa; Arthropoda; Insecta; Blattodea; Termitidae
Description: partial 12S ribosomal RNA
Source: RNAcentral